This is a long non-coding RNA of Etheostoma spectabile (orangethroat darter), 222 nucleotides long. RefSeq lists it as uncharacterized. The transcript has 3 exons. The record is from RefSeq and is a predicted model, not a curated record. NCBI's taxonomy places the organism in Eukaryota, Metazoa, Chordata, Actinopteri, Perciformes, Percidae.
CCGUAACCAUCUUUCAGUGUCUACUAAUGACUUUGAUGUCGAAGCGCCCUCUGUUUAGCUCGCCUCUGGCCCGCCUAUAUCAGAUACACUGAUGUGAUUGAUGCAGCUCGGCUACAAGGGCAAAGUUAUCAUCACUGAAUGCCAGAGUGACUUGCUGAACAAAUUCAAAUUGUGCUCUUGCGAGAACUCUGGAUUUCCAAGGUAACAUUAUUCCCCAAAUAU